This 505-nucleotide ribosomal RNA is filed under the name uncultured bacterium. RNAcentral describes it as "partial 16S ribosomal RNA". It matches the Rfam family "Bacterial small subunit ribosomal RNA", at positions 28 to 507 of the family's 1533-position model. The record is from RNAcentral.
GACGAACGCUGGCGGCGUGCCUAAUACAUGCAAGUAGAACGCACAGUUUAUACCGUAGCUUGCUACACCAUAGACUGUGAGUUGCGAACGGGUGAGUAACGCGUAGGUAACCUGCCUGGUAGCGGGGGAUAACUAUUGGAAACGAUAGCUAAUACCGCAUAAUAUUGAUUAUUGCAUGAUAAUUAAUUGAAAGGUGCAAUUGCACCACUACCAGAUGGACCUGCGUUGUAUUAGCUAGUAGGUGAGGUAACGGCUCACCUAGGCGACGAUACAUAGCCGACCUGAGAGGGUGAUCGGCCACACUGGGACUGAGACACGGCCCAGACUCCUACGGGAGGCAGCAGUAGGGAAUCUUCGGCAAUAGACGAAAGUCUGACCGAGCAACGCCGCGUGAGUGAAGAAGGUUUUCGGAUCGUAAAGCUCUGUUGUAAGAGAAGAACGGGUGUGAGAGUGGAAAGUUCACACUGUGACGGUAUCUGACCAGAAAGGGACGGCUAACUACGUG